UCAGUACACAGGUCUCCCAGACAACUUUUCCUAGUGAGCAGAUACAUCCUGCAGGAACAUCUGUUUCAGGAUGGGUUAUGGCACCACAUCCAGGAAAACUGCUUUAGAGGUUUCCAGGUAUCCGUGAGGGACUUGAAAUCAUGGAGAUACUCAGUGGCCCAGGUGUCAUUUUCCAGCCAGCAGCCACAGGAGUGGGAUAAGGAUGGUGCAGCUCUAAGGAAAAUACACAUUUUGAAAGUUCCUGGGUAUUUGUUUAUUGUCUUCAACUUCUCUAGCUUUCAACAGCUCCUCAAGAAUGUAUUAUAAUCUGCUCAGUGAAGGUUUUCAAUUUAGCUGUAUCAGCACAAUGGAUUACUUCUCACAUCCUUCUUUCACAUAGAUUAACAAUCUGUCCUGUGUAAUAUACUUCCAUUUUUCAGCAGUACAAAUAUAGUGUUAAAAUAAUUGCCUAUAACAAAUAUUAUUUUCAAUAUCUUUAUUAAAGACACUCAAUCUAGCCAUUUCCCCUAACUUCUUUCAUAAGGUUGUAAAAUAAACCAUUAUAAAAUGUUCAAAAGAAACGCUUACCAUCUUAGUGGUAUUUAAAAUGUAUUUUUAUUCCUCAUUGUUUGCUAUAAAGUUAUAGGAAAUGAGAAAACAGUUCCUUCUAAUUUUUCACAAAAGGGACACUUUCUGACUAGUUCUAGGCUAUGUGCUGAAUGGUUACUUUGGUAUCAUAUAUGCGUACCAAACAGUCCAUUUUUUCAUUUAAGGAAUUAAAAUUUUGCUUUCUAGGAUUUUUGUAAGAUUUCUAUAUGCAUAUGAGGUGGAACACUCAUUGGGAGGAAGAAAUGUAACUAGAUUACCCUUAGAAAGAAGUCCUGUUCCAAAUAAUUCAGGUCAGUAAUGGAGGAAAAUGUGUAGAGGAGAAGGUCUAAUAAAUGAUGGGAAGCUUAUGAGGACACAAGUCUAGUGAAACUCCAUAAUGGUUGUGCAGCUGAACAUAUCUUGGAAGAAAUUUCAGGGUUAUCCAGACUUUUCAACUGGGAACAUGGCACAGGACAUGAAGUAGGAUCAAAAAACCUUCACCUGCGUUACCAGCAGAAACUAGAAGAGAAAGGAACAAUAGACCUGUUUGGUCUAUGGAACCAGGAAAUAAGUGGUAUUAAUAAUGUAAUCAACACAUUUUGAAAUUACAGAUCUGUCCAUGUCCAUUAUUAACAUGUCUAUGAAUUUAACCUAGAAAUUUACACAAAUUUGUUACUUUCUUCAACUGUGGUGCCGCUCUGUGUUGUGAGUACACUCCGGCAAGUCUCUGUCCCAGUUCUCCUGUUCAGCUGCCAGAUCAACUGCAGUGCCUCGCUUUGUCACUGGGGUGUUGUGCAUCACUAGCAUGUGGCCAUGCAUCUCACCACAGAGGUGGACAUCUUUCAUGCUGGGUGAAAUGACUUUAUGGAAAUAGCCAAUAUUUGAGGAAACACGCCUAAAAAUGCCAAGUCUCAAUUGAAGCUCAAAGCAAUGUUUGAAAAAAAACCCCUGAAUUAUUCCCACGAAGUCCAUCAGAGGAUUAAUUUCUUUUUAGGCAUCCCUGCCUGUGGAAAAUUGGAGCCAUGGUCCUCUAGUUCUCUGAAAAACCUUCUAGACUUACAAGGAACGUUAAGUCUUUAGGAAAGUCAGUGAAAAGGGCAAUGCCAUCUAACUCCCUGUUUGCACCAUAUUGUCUUUCAGACCAAUCAAUCUCUCAUCCUCAAGUACAGAUGUCCCUAAGCAGAAGGUAACACCUGAGUGAACAUAACACAAUCCCAGUUUUCAGUCUGAAUAAUUUACUGUUUCCAUAAGUGGUGAGAACACAACUUUUACAGUUUAUGAAUCAUUACACUUUGUUUUUCUGCCCGAUAUUAGGUAAAGCUGAGAAUGGGACUAUAUUUCAGCUUAAACAGAGGAAAGAAAUCACAUAUUUCUAAUGUGCCAAAAAAGGAUAGGCAAUUUGAUAUCUGCCAAUCCAAUUCUUUCUGAAUGUCAGUUUCCACUCUAAUUUUCUCUCAAUUCUAAAGGGUCACAGCUGCGAAUUUGCCUUCCCCAUGUUUUUCAAGAACAUGGAGAUAUCUCCAAGCAAGGGCAAGCACUAUAUGAAAUCAGAAUGACAGGAUGACACAUUUUAGGUCAUCUGCAGUGGUCAUCUGCUAAAGCACACUGGCUCUGUACUGUACCUGUAGUGGCCUGCAUCUCCGAAUGGGGAUGAAUUUUGCAAACAGGGAAGGAAGCAUCACUGGUUGGUUUUCUUCAGGGAGCAGCCUAGUGUGCUGCCCUACCUGGAAAGCUCCUCCACGGGUCUGAUCUCGUUCUGUUAUGCUGUUGCAGCUUGUGAUUCUUCAUUAAUAUUUCCUUUCUUUUUUGCCUGGAUGUAACUGAGAUGGGAGUUCUCACAAAAGCAACAUAGUAGCAAAAUUGCAAGUGUGAAAUAGUAGCACCAGGAUAAAAACUAGAAUGCAUUGCUGAGAAUGAGAUACAAGGUUUCAAAAAUAAAUUUGCACUACCCACUGCAAAGUGUCACAAUCACUACUCUGUGCUUUUCCUUAAUAA
RNAcentral lists this long non-coding RNA (2562 nucleotides) under Taeniopygia guttata (zebra finch). Its description in RNAcentral is "lncRNA (ENSTGUG00000022694.1)". Lineage: Eukaryota; Metazoa; Chordata; Aves; Passeriformes; Estrildidae. The record is from RNAcentral.